Molecule: ribosomal RNA, 251 nt
Filed under: Craugastor laevissimus
Lineage: Eukaryota; Metazoa; Chordata; Amphibia; Anura; Craugastoridae
Description: partial large subunit ribosomal RNA
Rfam family: Archaeal large subunit ribosomal RNA
Source: RNAcentral
CUAGCUAAAGUUUUCAGUUGGGGUGACUAUGGAGAAAAACCCAUCCUCCAUGAUGCAAACCAAAUUCAAAACCACAAGCUACAGCUUUACGUCUCAGUAAACUGACAUUCAUUGACCCAUAUAAUUGAUCAACGAACCAAGCUACCCCAGGGAUAACAGCGCAAUCCACUUUAAGAGCACAUAUCGACAAGUGGGCUUACGACCUCGAUGUUGGAUCAGGGUAUCCCAGUGGUGCAGCCGCUACUAAAGGU